ACAGCAGUAGCCGCGGUAAUACGGAGGGUGCAAGCGUUAAUCGGAAUUACUGGGCGUAAAGCGCACGCAGGCGGUCUGACAAGUCAGAUGUGAAAUCCCCGGGCUUAACCUGGGAACUGCAUUUGAAACUGUCAGGCUGGAGUCUUGUAGAGGGGGGUGGAAUUCCAGGUGUAGCGGUGAAAUGCGUAGAGAUCUGGAGGAAUACCGGUGGCGAAGGCGGCCCCCUGGACAAAGACUGACGCUCAGGUGCGAAAGCGUGGGGAGCAAACAGGAUUAGAUACCCGGGUAGUCCCUGUCUCUUAUAC
RNAcentral lists this ribosomal RNA (305 nucleotides) under uncultured bacterium. RNAcentral describes it as "partial 16S ribosomal RNA". It matches the Rfam family "Bacterial small subunit ribosomal RNA", at positions 508 to 807 of the family's 1533-position model. The record is from RNAcentral.